GAAUGUCUGGAGUAAACGUGACUCAAAUAUGUCCAACCUACAUUAGACAAUCGGGAGUCAAACACUGCACAGCUGUCGGGCCGUCACCGAACGGAUGGCAAAAAUGCAGCUAAGGCGCCCACCUGUGAGAGCGCAGGUUUGGACAUAUACGAGAACGUAUUUCGGACAAUCA
Molecule: non-coding RNA, 172 nt
Filed under: Acetonema longum DSM 6540
Lineage: Bacteria; Bacillati; Bacillota; Negativicutes; Acetonemataceae
Description: 6S / SsrS RNA
Rfam family: 6S / SsrS RNA
About the family: E. coli 6S RNA was the first non coding RNA to be sequenced, but its function was unknown until recently. It consists of 184 nucleotides that fold into an extended hairpin structure with a large single-stranded internal bulge.
Source: Rfam by way of RNAcentral